GCAAAUCAAUAUAAAUUGAUUAAUAUUUAUUUAUUAAUUUUUUUUAUUUUUAUUUAUAAUUUAUUAAAAAUAAUUAUAUAAUUUAAUGUUUUAGUAAUUUUUAAUGAAAAAAUAAUAUUAAUAAUAGUGAAUUAUGUAUUGUUAAAGAUAAUUGAAAUAAUUUGAAAAAUUUUUAAAUAAAAAGAAAAUUUUAUUUAUUGUACCUUGUGUAUCAGGGUUUAUCAAAUAGUUAAUAAUUAUUUAUUAAUCUCGAUUUUAUAAGAGUUAAUAAUUUAUGAAAGUUAAUGUAUUAAAAUUAUUUUUAAUAAGUUAUUAGAAAUGAAAUGUUAUUCGUUUAUAAAGGUAUCUAGUUUUUUUAGAAAUAAAUUUAAUUUACAAAUUUUUAAUUUUUUAUUUAUUUAUUUAAUUAAAAAAUUUAUUAAUUUGAAUAUUUUAGGGGAUAAGCUUUAAAAUAAAUUAUUAAAAUUUAAUAAUUAUUAUAAAAAAUGUAUGUAUAAAAUAAGCAAUCAUUUUUAAGUUUGUUAUAAAUUAUUCUAUAAUUAUAUUAUUUAUUAAUAUUUUAAAUUUUUAUAAAAAUAAUUUUAUUAAUUUUUUAUAAAAUAUAAUAAUGAUAAAAUUAGUAUAUUUUAUUGUUUAAAUAAUUUUAUAUGAUAAGUUUAUAUAAAGAACUCGGCAAAUAAUAUACUCGCCUGUUUAACAAAAACAUGUCUUUUUGAAUUAUUUUUAAAGUCUAACCUGCCCACUGAAUAAUUUUGAAUGGCCGCAGUAUUUUAACUGUGCAAAGGUAGCAUAAUCAUUAGUCUUUUAAUUGAAGGCUGGUAUGAAUGGUUGGACGAAGUAUUAUCUGUUUCAUAUAAAUUUAUAAUAGAAUUUUAUUUUUUAGUUAAAAAGCUAAAAUUUUAUUAAAAGACGAGAAGACCCUAUAAAUCUUUUAUAUUUUUUAUUAUUUAAAUUUUUUAGAUAUAUUUUAUUUUUUUAAUAAUAAAUAUUUUGUUGGGGUGAUAUUAAAAUUUAAUAAACUUUUAAUUGUUUAAAAAUCAUUAAUUUAUGAUUUAUUGAUCCAUUGAUAAUGAUUAUAAGAUUAAGUUACUUUAGGGAUAACAGCGUAAUUUUUUUGAGAGUUCUUAUCGAUAAAAAAGUUUGCGACCUCGAUGUUGGAUUAAGAUACAUUUUUAGGUGUAGCUGCUUAAAGGUUAAGUCUGUUCGACUUU
This 1211-nucleotide ribosomal RNA is filed under the name Rhagoletis magniterebra. RNAcentral's name for it is "partial 16S ribosomal RNA". Lineage: Eukaryota; Metazoa; Arthropoda; Insecta; Diptera; Tephritidae. The record is from RNAcentral.